AUACGUAGGUGGCAAGCGUUGUCCGGAAUUAUUGGGCGUAAAGCGCAUGUAGGCGGUUUGGUAAGUCGGUCGUGAAAAUGCGGGGCUUAACGCCGUAUGGCGAUUGAAACUGCUGAACUUGAGUGCAGGAGAGGAAAGGGGAACUCCCAGGGUAGCGGUGAAAUGCGUAGAUAUUGGGAAGAACACCGGUGGCGAAGGCGCCUUUCUGGACUGUGUCUGACGCUCAGAUGUGAAAGCCAGGGUAGCGAACGGGAUUAGAUACCCCGGUAGUCCUGGCCGUAAACGAUGGGUACUAGGUGUGGGAGGUAUCGACUCCUUCCGUGCCGGAGUUAACGCAAUAAGUACCCCGCCUGGGGAGUACGGCCGCAAGGCUUAAACUCAAAGGAAUUGACGGGG
This 396-nucleotide ribosomal RNA is filed under the name uncultured bacterium. RNAcentral's name for it is "partial 16S ribosomal RNA". It matches the Rfam family "Bacterial small subunit ribosomal RNA", at positions 523 to 918 of the family's 1533-position model. The record is from RNAcentral.